RNAcentral lists this ribosomal RNA (503 nucleotides) under uncultured bacterium. RNAcentral describes it as "bacterial SSU rRNA". It matches the Rfam family "Bacterial small subunit ribosomal RNA", at positions 29 to 521 of the family's 1533-position model. The record is from RNAcentral.
AACGAACGCUGGCGGCGCGCCUAACACAUGCAAGUCGAACGAGAAUCCGGGGCAACCCGGUAGUAAAGUGGCAAACGGGUGAGGAAUACAUGGGUAACCUACCCUUGAGAAGGGAAUAACCCGCCGAAAGGUGAGCUAAUACCCUAUACGCUAUCUUUUUUUCGAAAAGGAAUAGGAAAGACCGGGUCGGAGGACCUGGUACUCAAGGAGGGGCUCAUGUCCUAUCAGCUUGUUGGUGGGGUAACGGCCUACCAAGGCUACGACGGGUAGCUGGUCUGAGAGGAUGAUCAGCCACACUGGCACUGAGAUACGGGCCAGACUCCUACGGGAGGCAGCAGUGAGGGAAUAUUGCGCAAUGGGCGAAAGCCUGACGCAGUCGACGCCGCGUGGGGGAUGAAGGUUUUCGGAUUGUAAACCCUUUCAUGAGGAAAGAUAAAGUGGGUAACCACUUAGACGGUACCUCAAGAAGAAGCCACGGCUAACUUCGUGCCAGCAGCCGCGGU